RNAcentral lists this ribosomal RNA (297 nucleotides) under uncultured fungus. RNAcentral describes it as "partial small subunit ribosomal RNA". It matches the Rfam family "Eukaryotic small subunit ribosomal RNA", at positions 30 to 350 of the family's 1831-position model. Lineage: Eukaryota; Fungi. The record is from RNAcentral.
GCUUGUCUCAAAGAUUAAGCCAUGCAUGUCUAAGUAUAAAUAGUGUACAUUGAAACUGCGAAUGGCUCAUUAAAACAGUUAUAGUUUAUUUGAUGAUGGUCUACAUGGAUAACCGUAGUAAUUCUAGAGCUAAUACAUGCACAAAAUCCCGACUUACGAAGGGAUGUAUUUAUUAGAUACAAACCAACAUCGUGGUGAUUCAUAAUAACUUUGCGAAUCGUAUGCCUCACGGCGACGAUGAAUCAUUCAAAUUUCUGCCCUAUCAACUUGGCUACCACAUCCAAGGAAGGCAGCAGG